Helianthus annuus (common sunflower) is the source of this 2864-nucleotide long non-coding RNA. RefSeq lists it as uncharacterized. The transcript is spliced from 13 exons. NCBI's taxonomy places the organism in Eukaryota, Viridiplantae, Streptophyta, Magnoliopsida, Asterales, Asteraceae. The record is from RefSeq and is a predicted model, not a curated record.
CGGAGAACAAAACCACGUUAUCAGCUCAUUAGGGUUUCUGUCUUUCACAUCCGCCCCAUUUCUUCUCUCUCUCUCUCACCAGGCGAUAACCCUUGAUCGAUGGAUUUCACUGCCGAAUUCACUGGAUCGACGGAUUUCACCUGCGAAUCCACAUCUCAGGGUUUUUUCUCCGGCUAUGACCCUUGAGCGAUGGAUUUCACCGGCGUUUUCAAAUCUCAGGUAACAUCUUUUUUACCUCUCGGCAUUUUUGGUUUGAAAUUUGUCUUGGAUCUGUUAAAUUUUAGGGUUUAUUUCUCCGGCGAUAACCUUAGAGAUAGAUGGAUUUCACCGGCGUUUUCACAUCUCAGAUCUGUAACUAUUUUCUUGCAGAUCUGGUUACUUUCAGAUCCGUACAGCUAUGGAAUCUUACAUAAGGGUGUAAAUGAGAAUUAGGAGAAAACGGUUUGGAGUUGGGGUUAUAUAAAUAUAAUUGGACCUUGGACCCCAAAAUUUGUUUCCAAAAUGUAUAGCUGUGCAGCACAUUGGCGCUUUUGAGCAAUUUUAAAGGAUUUGGGGAAUUUUAUUUCAAAUAUUAUAGCUUUGUAACUUCAUGGACUGCAUAGGCCUUGGAGCUUGUGAAGCACAGCUCUUCAUGAGGAGUGCUUUUUUGGUUUGAUUUAAUUCAUUUUUUGUUAAUCGUUCGUACCGCAUGGAAGUAAAAAUUGUAUACAAGUAGUUAUAAACUAGGAAGCAUUGCUUGUAUCUCUCGGUGAGUUGUGAUUUAUUUUUUGGUUAUGUUAUUUUCUUGCAGUUUUGGGCUAAUCUACUGAGCUGUUUCUUUGGAACUGAAAAUGAGUAGCCGCUUCUCGCGUAUGAUUUACGUUGGAAACCUGCCUUUGGAUAUAAGAGAGAGGGAAGUUGAAGAUCUUUUUUGGUUUGAGUUAAUUCAUUUUUUGUUAAUCGUUCGUACCGCAUGGAAGUAAAAAUUGUAUACAAGUAGUUAUAAACUAGGAAGCAUUGCUUGUAUCUCUCGGUGAGUUGUGAUUUAUUUUUUGGUUAUGUUAUUUUCUUGCAGUUUUGGGCUAAUCUACUGAGCUGUUUCUUUGGAACUGAAAAUGAGUAGCCGCUUCUCGCGUAUGAUUUACGUUGGAAACCUGCCUUUGGAUAUAAGAGAGAGGGAAGUUGAAGAUCUUUUCUAUAAGUAUGGACGCAUAUUGGACAUAGAAUUGAAAAUUCCACCUCGUGCUCCCUGUUAUUGUUUUGUGGAGUUUGCAAAUGCACGAGAUGCUGAAGAUGCCAUUAGGGGCCGUGAUGGCUAUAACUUUGAUGGUUGCCGCCUCAGGGUUGAGCUUGCUCAUGGUGGCCGUGGACAAUCAUCUUCAGGUGAUGGGGCGGAUGGCGCUUUUGAGCAAUUUUAUUUCAAAUAUUAUAGCUUUGGAACUUCAUGGACUGCAUAGGCCUUGGAGCUUGUGAAGCACAGCUCUUCAUGAGGAGUGCUUUUUUGGUUUGAUUUAAUUCAUUUUUUGUUCAGAGAGACAAUGGUGUGGAAACGAGUGGCCGCAAGGUGUGAUAUGAUCAAUCUCAACAACUUCAUAUAAGGAAGCAAAUGCAUGAAACAAUGUACUCUCACAACUGAAAUAGAAAAUGUUCCCUAAAACAUGUGGCGUUGGAAUGCACUCUCCUGUCACACUAAAACAUGUUCUUCCACCAAAAGCGCAGCCUAAACAGUGCACCAAAACAGAACCGUUUCGAUUAGAGGUGUAGCAAGGCAUGAAGAAGUACAAAAGGAAAUGGAAGAAAGCCUAACCCACCUAACCCACCCCAUGGUGUUGUAAGAAGCUCAAUGGCUAAAAGUUUGUUUCAUGACUGAACUCGCCUGAUUUAUUCAAAGCUGAAGGAUACAAGAGGGGAAUCCAGAAACUUGUACAACCAAGAAAGAAUAUGGGGCCCUUUUUCAUGUCUGACCACAGGUGAGCGGGAGGAUAUUUGAGCGCCACAAUUCAAAAUUUAAAUAGUUUUAGGAGGGGGAGAAAACGAGAUAGAGAGAGAAAGAGAGCCAGACCUGCCAAUGCAGAUGCAGACUUGCAGCUUUUGAGUCCUCAUGAAAGAGAAAGACAACUAAUGUAGCAGAAGAAACACAAUCUUUAAGGACAUGAAGAAAAUGUGCUACCAAAACUUGAAAGAAUCAAAUCCAUGUUUACUCGACCUCUAUCAGGGACGGGUUCCUGUCCAGGUGCACAUAUGCAUAGAACCGAUGAGGUUUGGCAUGACGAUGCGUCACAGGAAGCCAUUGAAAACUGGCCUGAUAGGCCUUUUGAUCCGCCAAGAAUGUGCAUUUGGGCGCUGCACGGAUAUGUGUAUGCACGAUUCUUAUAUGUAUUCAAUGUCGGACUGUUUUGUGACGAUGUGAGGAUGAUGAUCAAUUUCAAGCCUUCAACUUAAAUGGACUACUCCAGUUGUAGAAGUGAGUCUGUACAUACAAAAGGCAUCAUAACCGACUCUUAAACAAGAGCUUGAACGGUAUUCAAUGGUGCUGUUGAAGACCAAACUGCAGUCAAGGUACAAAGAGAUUUGCUAGGCUGAACCCCAGAGAUUGCUGGUAUUGGUUGGGAGGUUGUCGGAGGCAUAAUCCCGAGUGUUUGCUUUGGCUGAGAAUGGGUUCACGACCUUUGGGUUGUAGCGAGUUCAAGCCUGAGCGAAUCAUAUAUGGACAUGAUUAUAUGUUUUAGUCUCAUUAGUUAACUGUUUGCUGAAAAAUAGUCAACCUGUGAACACGUGUGACGUAAUUGGUUUUUACUUUUUUUAUGUCAUAAAAAUGUUGAUUUAGAAAAUUUGAAGUGUAAAUGGACCGUGUUCGUGUCAAUUUGUGAUUUUUAUUGCAUUAA